This 460-nucleotide ribosomal RNA is filed under the name uncultured bacterium. RNAcentral describes it as "partial 16S ribosomal RNA". It matches the Rfam family "Bacterial small subunit ribosomal RNA", at positions 338 to 795 of the family's 1533-position model. The record is from RNAcentral.
CCUACGGGCGGCAGCAGUGAGGAAUAUUGGUCAAUGGACGAGAGUCUGAACCAGCCAAGUAGCGUGAAGGAUGACUGCCCUAAGGGUUGUAAACUUCUUUUAUAUGGGAAUAAAACAGGGUAUGCAUACCCUCUUGUAUGUACCAUAUGAAUAAGGAUCGGCUAACUCCGUGCCAGCAGCCGCGGUAAUACGGAGGAUCCGAGCGUUAUCCGGAUUUAUUGGGUUUAACGGGAGCGUAGGUGGAGUGUUAAGUCAGUUGUGAAAGGUUGCGGCUUAACCGUAAAAUUGCAGUUGAAACUGGCAGUCUUGAGUACACGAGAGGUGGGCGGAAUGCGUGGUGUAGCGGUGAAAUGCGUAGAUAUCGCGAAGAACUCCGAUUGCGAAGGCAGCAUACUGGACUGCAACUGACACUGAUGCUCGAAAGUGUGGGUAUCAAACAGGAUUAGAUACCCCAGUAGUC